GCACCAGGUCCUUAUGUAUUUUUUUUUUCUUUGUACCAAGGUAUUUCCAAGCAUAACAGCACCUCCAAAGUUUCCAAGGGAAAAGCCAGUCUACUCUGUGCUGUGCUUCCUCCAAGCAUCUCUUUACAGAGCCAACAGACGAGAAGAAUUAAGAGCCUGAAAACAAUGUAUAGAAUCCCAUCACGAACCAUAAAUCAGAUGUUCCAAGGUCCCGGUGAGCUCGGUUUCUCUCGCACAGCAAAUCUUGUAAGCCCUUUCAUGCCAGAUGUGUUAUCCCUUCAAGGGACAUGAGCAGCUUGAAAGAGGAGCAGAAACUGGGAACACUAAUAGGUUAAAAAUACUUUAAACCACAAGGCAAAGGAAACAAUUAAACCAUCUUACAGUCA
This is a long non-coding RNA of Neofelis nebulosa (Clouded leopard), 386 nucleotides long. RefSeq lists it as uncharacterized. The record is from RefSeq and is a predicted model, not a curated record. The transcript is spliced from 3 exons. NCBI's taxonomy places the organism in Eukaryota, Metazoa, Chordata, Mammalia, Carnivora, Felidae.